AGGACGAACGCUGGCGGCGUGCUUAACACAUGCAAGUCGAACGGAAAGGCCCUUCGGGGUACUCGAGUGGCGAACGGGUGAGUAACACGUGGGUGAUCUGCCCCGCACUUUGGGAUAAGCCUGGGAAACUGGGUCUAAUACCGAAUAGGACCAUGGCAUGCAUGUGCUGUGGUGGAAAGCUUUUGCGGUGUGGGAUGGGCCCGCGGCCUAUCAGCUUGUUGGUGGGGUUAAGGCCUACCAAGGCGACGACGGGUAGCCGGCCUGAGAGGGUGUCCGGCCACACUGGGACUGAGAUACGGCCCAGACUCCUACGGGAGGCAGCAGUGGGGAAUAUUGCACAAUGGGCGCAAGCCUGAUGCAGCGACGCCGCGUGGGGGAUGGACGGCCUUCGGGUUGUAACCCUUUCAGUAGGGACGAAGCGCAGUGACGGUACCUACAGAAGAAGCACCGGCCAACUACGUGCCAGCAGCCGC
RNAcentral lists this ribosomal RNA (473 nucleotides) under uncultured bacterium. RNAcentral's name for it is "SSU rRNA". It matches the Rfam family "Bacterial small subunit ribosomal RNA", at positions 26 to 518 of the family's 1533-position model. The record is from RNAcentral.